AUCCAGAUGAUGAGUCCCAAAUAGGACGAAAUGCGCGUUAUCCUGGUGGAU
This 51-nucleotide non-coding RNA is filed under the name Trichobilharzia regenti. The record is from RNAcentral. Lineage: Eukaryota; Metazoa; Platyhelminthes; Trematoda; Strigeidida; Schistosomatidae.